AGCUCCAAUAGCGUAUAUUAAAGUUGCUGCAGUUAAAAAGCUCGUAGUUGGAUUUGUGGCGCGGCCGUCCGGCGGGGGUCCUUCUAUGGUCUCGUUUGUCCUGGUUUUCGGCCGCUCCUUUCUCGGGUAGAGCGUAAUGGCUGGCAUUAGGUUGUCGGCCGCUUCGCGCCCGUCGUUUACUGUGAAAAAAUUAGAGUGUUCAAAGCAGGCUUAUGCCGUUGAAUAUGUUAGCAUGGAAUAAUAAGAUAGGACCUUGGUACUAUUUUGUUGGUUUGCGCACCAAGGUAAUGAUUAAUAGGGACAGUUGGGGGUAUUCGUAUUUCAUUGUCAGAGGUGAAAUUCUUGGAUUUUUGAAAGACGAACUACUGCGAAAGCAUUUACCAAGGAUGUUUUCAUUAAU
Molecule: ribosomal RNA, 400 nt
Filed under: phytoplankton environmental sample
Lineage: Eukaryota
Description: partial small subunit ribosomal RNA
Rfam family: Eukaryotic small subunit ribosomal RNA
Source: RNAcentral